Molecule: transfer RNA, 77 nt
Filed under: Desulfuromonadales bacterium
Lineage: Bacteria; Pseudomonadati; Thermodesulfobacteriota; Desulfuromonadia; Desulfuromonadales
Description: tRNA-Arg
Rfam family: tRNA
About the family: Transfer RNA (tRNA) molecules are approximately 80 nucleotides in length. Their secondary structure includes four short double-helical elements and three loops (D, anti-codon, and T loops).
Source: RNAcentral
GCGCCAGUAGCUCAGAUGGAUAGAGCAACGGCCUUCUAAGCCGUAGGUCGGGGGUUCGAAUCCUCCCUGGCGUACCA